This 103-nucleotide small nuclear RNA is filed under the name Castor canadensis (American beaver). Lineage: Eukaryota; Metazoa; Chordata; Mammalia; Rodentia; Castoridae. The record is from RNAcentral.
GUGCUCACUUCGGCAGCACAUAUACUAAAAUUGGAAUGAUAGAAGAUUAGCAUGGCCCCUGUGCAAGGAUGACAUGCAAACCCGUGGAGCAUUCCAUGUUAAA